GCCGGGGUGGCGGAACGGUAGACGCGGCGGACUUAAAAUCCGUUGCCCGCAAGGGCGUGAGAGUUCGAGUCUCUCCCUCGGCACCA
Molecule: transfer RNA, 86 nt
Filed under: SAR202 cluster bacterium Io17-Chloro-G3
Lineage: Bacteria; Bacillati; Chloroflexota; Dehalococcoidia
Description: tRNA-Leu
Rfam family: tRNA
About the family: Transfer RNA (tRNA) molecules are approximately 80 nucleotides in length. Their secondary structure includes four short double-helical elements and three loops (D, anti-codon, and T loops).
Source: RNAcentral